Molecule: ribosomal RNA, 337 nt
Filed under: Peribacillus simplex
Lineage: Bacteria; Bacillati; Bacillota; Bacilli; Caryophanales; Bacillaceae
Description: bacterial SSU rRNA
Rfam family: Bacterial small subunit ribosomal RNA
Source: RNAcentral
UGACUGCCGGUGACAAACCGGAGGAAGGUGGGGAUGACGUCAAAUCAUCAUGCCCCUUAUGACCUGGGCUACACACGUGCUACAAUGGAUGGUACAAAGGGCUGCAAACCUGCGAAGGUAAGCGAAUCCCAUAAAGCCAUUCUCAGUUCGGAUUGCAGGCUGCAACUCGCCUGCAUGAAGCCGGAAUCGCUAGUAAUCGCGGAUCAGCAUGCCGCGGUGAAUACGUUCCCGGGCCUUGUACACACCGCCCGUCACACCACGAGAGUUUGUAACACCCGAAGUCGGUGAGGUAACCUUCAUGGAGCCAGCCGCCUAAGGUGGGACAGAUGAUUGGGGU